Molecule: non-coding RNA, 77 nt
Organism: Kluyvera ascorbata ATCC 33433
Lineage: Bacteria; Pseudomonadati; Pseudomonadota; Gammaproteobacteria; Enterobacterales; Enterobacteriaceae
Source: Rfam
AGUCAUAGUUGCUAUUCUCGUGAAAUAGUAGGUGUGAUUAGCGAUGCGGGCGUGUUGGCGCACACCCGCAUCGCGCA